UCAGGACGAACGCUGGCGGCAUGCCUAACACAUGCAAGUCGAACGGACAUAAGGAAGACAUAGCGAUAUGUAAGAAUUAUGUUAGUGGCGAACGGGUGAGUAACACGUGAGCAACCUGCCCCAUACAACGGGAUAACACUUAGAAAUAGGUGCUAAUACGGUAUAAGACCACACUACGGAAUCGUAGAGAGGUAAAAGCGAAUUUAGCGGUAUGGGAUGGGCUCGCGUCCAAUUAGCUAGUUGGUGAGGUAACGGCCCACCAAGGCGACGAUUGGUAGCCGACCUGAGAGGGUGAUCGGCCACACUGGAACUGAGACACGGUCCAGACUCCUACGGGAGGCAGCAGUGGGGAAUAUUGGGCAAUGGAGGAAACUCUUACCCAGCAAUGCCGCGUGAAGGAUGAAGGUUUUCGGAUUGUAAACUUCUUUGAUCGGGGACGAAAUUGACGGUACCCGAGGAACAAGCCACGGCUAACUACGUGCCAGCAGCCGCGGUAAUACGUAGGUGGCAAGCGUUGUCCGGAAUUACUGGGUGUAAAGGGCGUGUAGGCGGGAAGGCAAGUCAGAUGUGAAAGCCCAUGGCUUAACUGUGGAAUUGCAUCUGAAACUGUUUUUCUUGAGUGCUGGAGAGGAAAGUGGAAUUCCUAGUGUAGCGGUGAAAUGCGUAGAGAUUAGGAGGAACACCNNNNGCGAAGGCGGCUUUCUGGACAGNNNNNGACGCUGAGGCGCGAAAGCGUGGGGAGNNNNNAGGAUUAGAUACCCUGGUAGUCCANNCNNUAAACGAUGGAUACUAGGUGUGGGAGGUAUCGACCCCUUCNNNGNCCNGAGUUAACACAAUAAGUAUCCCACCUGGGGAGUACGGCCGCAAGGCUGAAANNCAAAGGAAUUGACGGGGGCCCGCACAAGCAGUGGAGUAUGUGGUUUAAUUCGAAGCAACGCGAAGAACCUUACCAGGGCUUGACAUACCGAUGACCGGGUUAGAGAUAACCCUUCCCUUCGGGGCAUCGGAUACAGGUGGUGCAUGGUUGUCGUCAGCUCGUGUCGUGAGAUGUUGGGUUAAGUCCCGCAACGAGCGCAACCCCUGUUGUUAGUUGCCAUCAUUAAGUUGGGCACUCUAACAAGACUGCCGGUGACAAAUCGGAGGAAGGUGGGGAUGACGUCAAAUCAUCAUGCCCCUUAUGUCCUGGGCUACACACGUACUACAAUGGCGAUUACAGAGGGCAGCGAAACCGCGAGGUGGAGCAAAUCCCUAAAGGUCGCCCCAGUUCAGAUUGCAGGCUGAAACUCGCCUGCAUGAAGUAGGAAUUGCUAGUAAUGGCAGGUCAGCAUACUGCCGUGAAUACGUUCCCGGGCCUUGUACACACCGCCCGUCACACCAUGAGAGUUGACAACACCCGAAGUCAGUAGCUUAACCGCAAGGAGAGCGCUGCCGAAGGUGGGGUUGAUGAUUA
Molecule: ribosomal RNA, 1450 nt
Filed under: uncultured bacterium
Lineage: Bacteria
Description: bacterial SSU rRNA
Rfam family: Bacterial small subunit ribosomal RNA
Source: RNAcentral